RNAcentral lists this transfer RNA (75 nucleotides) under Olsenella uli. RNAcentral's name for it is "tRNA-Gln". It matches the Rfam family "tRNA". From Rfam's summary of the family: Transfer RNA (tRNA) molecules are approximately 80 nucleotides in length. Their secondary structure includes four short double-helical elements and three loops (D, anti-codon, and T loops). Further hydrogen bonds mediate the characteristic L-shaped molecular structure. tRNAs have two regions of fundamental functional importance: the anti-codon, which is responsible for specific mRNA codon recognition, and the 3' end, to which the tRNAs corresponding amino acid is attached (by aminoacyl-tRNA synthetases). tRNAs cope with the degeneracy of the genetic code in two manners: having more than one tRNA (with a specific anti-codon) for a particular amino acid; and 'wobble' base-pairing, i.e. permitting non-standard base-pairing at the 3rd anti-codon position. The record is from RNAcentral. RNAcentral also lists the same sequence under 23 other names. Lineage: Bacteria; Bacillati; Actinomycetota; Coriobacteriia; Coriobacteriales; Atopobiaceae.
AGGGGUAUCGUCCAAUGGUUAGGACAGUGGUUUUUGGUGCCAUCAAUGUGGGUUCGAAUCCUACUACCCCUGCCA